UGCCAGCAGCCGCGGUAAUACGGAGGGUGCGAGCGUUAAUCGGAAUUACUGGGCGUAAAGGGCGCGUAGGCGGCCAGAUAAGUCGGGUGUGAAAGCCCCGGGCUCAACCCGGGAAUUGCACUCGAUACUGUCUGGCUAGAGUAUGGUAGAGGAAAGCGGAAUUCCGGGUGUAGCGGUGAAAUGCGUAGAUAUCCGGAGGAACACCAGUGGCGAAGGCGGCUUUCUGGACCAAUACUGACGCUGAGGCGCGAAAGCGUGGGGAGCAAACAGGAUUAGAUA
RNAcentral lists this ribosomal RNA (279 nucleotides) under uncultured bacterium. Its description in RNAcentral is "partial 16S ribosomal RNA". It matches the Rfam family "Bacterial small subunit ribosomal RNA", at positions 506 to 784 of the family's 1533-position model. The record is from RNAcentral.